GACGAACGCUGGCGGCGUGCUUAACACAUGCAAGUCGAACGGAAAGGCCCUGCUUUUGUGGGGUGCUCGAGUGGCGAACGGGUGAGUAACACGUGAGUAACCUGCCCUUGACUUUGGGAUAACUUCAGGAAACUGGGGCUAAUACCGGAUAGGAGCUCCUGCUGCAUGGUGGGGGUUGGAAAGUUUCGGUGGUUGGGGUGUGACUCGCGGCCUAUCAGCUUGAUGGUGGGGUAGUGGAUUAGCAAGGCUUUGAACGGUAGCCUGCCUGAGAGGGGGACAGGCCAAAUUGGGAUUGGGAUACGGCCCAGACUCCUACGGGAGGCAGCGGUGCGGAAGAGAGCAUAAUGGGCGGAAGCCUGAUGCAGCAAAGCCGCGUGCGGGAUGACGGCCAUGGGGUUGUAAACCGCUGUCCCCUGUGACGAAGCGUGAGUGACGGUAAUGGGUAAAGAAGCACCGGCUAACUACGUG
Molecule: ribosomal RNA, 468 nt
Filed under: uncultured bacterium
Lineage: Bacteria
Description: partial 16S ribosomal RNA
Rfam family: Bacterial small subunit ribosomal RNA
Source: RNAcentral